ACAGGUGCUGCAUGGCUGUCGUCAGCUCGUGUCGUGAGAUGUUGGGUUAAGUCCCGUAACGAGCGCAACCCUUGUCCUUAGUUACCAGCACGUUAUGGUGGGCACUCUAAGGAGACUGCCGGUGACAAACCGGAGGAAGGUGGGGGAUGACGUCAAGUCAUCAUGGCCCUUACGGCCUGGGCUACACACGUGCUACAAUGGUCGGUGCAAAGGGUUGCCAAGCCGCGAGGUGGAGCUAAUCCCAUAAAACCGAUCGUAGUCCGGAUCGCAGUCUGCAACUCGACUGCGUGAAGUCGGAAUCGCUAGUAAUCGUGAAUCAGAAUGUCACGGUGAAUACGUUCCCGGGCCUU
RNAcentral lists this ribosomal RNA (350 nucleotides) under uncultured Pseudomonas sp. RNAcentral describes it as "bacterial SSU rRNA". It matches the Rfam family "Bacterial small subunit ribosomal RNA", at positions 1034 to 1382 of the family's 1533-position model. The record is from RNAcentral. Lineage: Bacteria; Pseudomonadati; Pseudomonadota; Gammaproteobacteria; Pseudomonadales; Pseudomonadaceae.